AUAGGACUUUAGUUUAGUUAAGGU
RNAcentral lists this microRNA (24 nucleotides) under Solanum tuberosum (potato). RNAcentral's name for it is "stu-miR7981-3p". Lineage: Eukaryota; Viridiplantae; Streptophyta; Magnoliopsida; Solanales; Solanaceae. The record is from miRBase by way of RNAcentral.